AACGAACGCUGGCGGCAUGCCUAACACAUGCAAGUCGAACGAGACCUUCGGGUCUAGUGGCGCACGGGUGCGUAACGCGUGGGAACCUGCCUUUAGGUUCGGAAUAACUCAGAGAAAUUUGAGCUAAUACCGGAUGAUGUCUUCGGACCAAAGAUUUAUCGCCUUUAGAUGGGCCCGCGUUGGAUUAGCUAGUUGGUGGGGUAAAGGCCUACCAAGGCGACGAUCCAUAGCCGGUCUGAGAGGAUGAUCAGCCACACUGGGACUGAGACACGGCCCAGACUCCUACGGGAGGCAGCAGUGGGGAAUAUUGGACAAUGGGCGAAAGCCUGAUCCAGCAAUGCCGCGUGAGUGAUGAAGGCCUUAGGGUUGUAAAGCUCUUUUACCCGAGAUGAUAAUGACAGUAUCGGGAGAAUAAGCUCCGGCUAACUCCGUG
Molecule: ribosomal RNA, 433 nt
Filed under: uncultured bacterium
Lineage: Bacteria
Description: partial 16S ribosomal RNA
Rfam family: Bacterial small subunit ribosomal RNA
Source: RNAcentral